This 253-nucleotide ribosomal RNA is filed under the name uncultured bacterium. Its description in RNAcentral is "partial 16S ribosomal RNA". It matches the Rfam family "Bacterial small subunit ribosomal RNA", at positions 524 to 776 of the family's 1533-position model. The record is from RNAcentral.
UACGGAGGAUGCAAGUGUUAUCCGGAAUCACUGGGCGUAAAGCGUCUGUAGGUGGUUUAAAAAGUCUACUGUUAAAAAUUGAAGCUUAACUUCAAAGAUGCCGUAGAAACUUUUAAACUUGAGGAUGGCAGGGGUAGAGGGAAUUUCCAGUGGAGCGGUGAAAUGCGUAGAUCUUGGAAAGACCACCAAUGGCGAAGGCACUCUACUGGGCCAUGACUGACACUAAGAGACGAAAGCUAGGGGAGCAAAUGGG